RNAcentral lists this non-coding RNA (115 nucleotides) under Paenibacillus uliginis. RNAcentral describes it as "Glycine sequence". It matches the Rfam family "Glycine riboswitch aptamer". Rfam says of the family: This family represents the bacterial glycine riboswitch. Glycine riboswitches usually consist of two metabolite-binding aptamers domains with similar structures in tandem. The aptamers cooperatively bind glycine to regulate the expression of downstream genes. The record is from RNAcentral. Lineage: Bacteria; Bacillati; Bacillota; Bacilli; Caryophanales; Paenibacillaceae.
UGACGAUGGACGGGAGAGACCGCAACGCCAAUUAAGGUGGCGGCACCGAAGGAGCAAUUCGUUACACCUGCCGGUUAACGAGUAAUCUCUCAGGUAAAAGUACCGCUGUCUGACG